This 466-nucleotide ribosomal RNA is filed under the name uncultured bacterium. RNAcentral describes it as "partial 16S ribosomal RNA". It matches the Rfam family "Bacterial small subunit ribosomal RNA", at positions 28 to 507 of the family's 1533-position model. The record is from RNAcentral.
GAUGAACGCUGGCGGCGUGCUUAACACAUGCAAGUCGAACGAUGAAGCCCAGCUUGCUGGGUGGAUUAGUGGCGAACGGGUGAGUAACACGUGAGUAACCUGCCCUUAACUCUGGGAUAAGCCUGGGAAACUGGGGCUAAUACCGGAUAGGAGCGUCCACCGCAUGGGGGGUGGUGGAAAGAUUUAUCGGUUUUGGAUGGACUCGCGGCCUAUCAGCUUGUUGGUGAGGUAAUGGCUCACCAAGGCGACGACGGGUAGCCGGCCUGAGAGGGUGACCGGCCACACUGGGACUGAGACACGGCCCAGACUCCUACGGGAGGCAGCAGUGGGGAAUAUUGCACAAUGGGCGCAAGCCUGAUGCAGCGACGCCGCGUGCGGGAUGACGGCCUUCGGGUUGUAAACCUCUUUCAGUAGGGAAGAAGCGAAAGUGACGGUACCUGCAGAAGAAGCACCGGCUAACUACGUG